This 495-nucleotide ribosomal RNA is filed under the name uncultured bacterium. RNAcentral describes it as "bacterial SSU rRNA". It matches the Rfam family "Bacterial small subunit ribosomal RNA", at positions 15 to 518 of the family's 1533-position model. The record is from RNAcentral.
GAUCAUGGCUCAGGAUGAACGCUGGCGGCGUGCUUAACACAUGCAAGUCGAACGGAGUAUAUUUAAAAGCUUGCUUUUGUAUAUACUUAGUGGCGGACGGGUGAGUAACGCGUGGGUAACCUGCCUUAUACCGGGGGACAACAGCUGGAAACGGCUGCUAAUACCGCAUAAGCGCACAGAUAGGCAUCUAUCAGUGUGAAAAACUCCGGUGGUAUAAGAUGGACCCGCGUCUGAUUAGCCAGUUGGCGGUGUAACGGACCACCAAAGCGACGAUCAGUAGCCGGCCUGAGAGGGCAAACGGCCACAUUGGGACUGAGACACGGCCCAAACUCCUACGGGAGGCAGCAGUGGGGAAUAUUGCACAAUGGAGGAAACUCUGAUGCAGCCGACGCCGCGUGAGUGAAGAAGUAUCUCGGUAUGUAAAGCUCUAUCAGCAGGAAAGAAAAUGACGGUACCUGACUAAGAAGCCCCGGCUAACUACGUGCCAGCCGCUGC